GGGGCCUUAGCUCAGCUGGGGAGAGCACCUGCUUUGCAAGCAGGGGGUCAUCGGUUCGAUCCCGAUAGGCUCCACCA
RNAcentral lists this transfer RNA (77 nucleotides) under Cereibacter sphaeroides. Its description in RNAcentral is "Rhodobacter sphaeroides tRNA-Ala". It matches the Rfam family "tRNA". From Rfam's summary of the family: Transfer RNA (tRNA) molecules are approximately 80 nucleotides in length. Lineage: Bacteria; Pseudomonadati; Pseudomonadota; Alphaproteobacteria; Rhodobacterales; Paracoccaceae. The record is from RNAcentral.